UAGCUAGUUGGUGAGGUAAAGGCUUACCAAGGCGACGAUCUGUAGCGGGUCUGAGAGGAUGAUCCGCCACACUGGAACUGAGACACGGUCCAGACUCCUACGGGAGGCAGCAGUGGGGAAUUUUGGACAAUGGGCGCAAGCCUGAUCCAGCCAUGCCGCGUGAGUGAAGAAGGCCUUCGGGUUGUAAAGCUCUUUCGGCCGGGAAGAAAUCGCGUGGGUUAAUACCCUGUGUGGAUGACGGUACCGGAAUAAGAAGCACCGGCUAACUACGUGCCAGCAGCCGCGGUAAUACGUAGGGUGCGAGCGUUAAUCGGAAUUACUGGGCGUAAAGCGUGCGCAGGCGGUUUUGUAAGACAGGCGUGAAAUCCCCGGGCUUAACCUGGGAACUGCGUUUGUGACUGCAAGACUAGAGUACGGCAGAGGGGGGUGGAAUUCCACGUGUAGCAGUGAAAUGCGUAGAGAUGUGGAGGAACACCAAUGGCGAAGGCAGCCCCCUGGGUCGAUACUGACGCUCAUGCACGAAAGCGUGGGUAGCAAACAGGAUUAGAUACCCUGGUAGUCCACGCCCUAAACUAUGUCAACUAGGUGUUGGGUGGGUAAAACCAUUUAGUACCGUAGCUAACGCGUGAAGUUGACCGCCUGGGGAGUACGGCCGCAAGGUUAAAACUCAAAGGAAUUGACGGGGACCCGCACAAGCGGUGGAUGAUGUGGAUUAAUUCGAUGCAACGCGAAAAACCUUACCUACCCUUGACAUGCCAGGAACUUGCCAGAGAUGGCUUGGUGCCCGAAAUGGAGCCUGGACACAGGUGCUGCAUGGCUGUCGUCAGCUCGUGUCGUGAGAUGUUGGGUUAAGUCCCGCAACGAGCGCAACCCUUGUCGUUAAUUGCCAUCAUUUAGUUGGGCACUUUAGCGAGACUGCCGGUGACAAACCGGAGGAAGGUGGGGAUGACGUCAAGCUCUCAUGGCCCUUAUGGGUAGGGCUUCACACGUCAUACAAUGGUCGGUACAGAGGGUUGCCAACCCGCGAGGGGGAGCCAAUCCCAGAAAGCCGAUCGUAGUCCGGAUUGCAGGCUGCAACUCGCCUGCAUGAAGUCGGAAUCGCUAGUAAUCGCGGAUCAGCAUGCCGCGGUGAAUGCGUUCCCGGGUCUUGUACACACCGCCCGUCACACCAUGGGAGCGGGUUCCGCCAGAAGUAGGUAGCCUAACCGCAAGGAGGGCGCUUACCACGGCGGGGUUCGUGACUGGGGUGAAGUCGUAACAGGGCAGCCGUAGGGGAACCUGCGGCUG
This 1287-nucleotide ribosomal RNA is filed under the name metagenome. Its description in RNAcentral is "bacterial SSU rRNA". It matches the Rfam family "Bacterial small subunit ribosomal RNA", at positions 242 to 1520 of the family's 1533-position model. The record is from RNAcentral.